GACGUAGGAGGCGAGCGUUGUCCGGAUUCAUUGGGCGUAAAGAGCACGCAGGCGGUUUGGCAAGUCGGAUGUGAAAACCCGAAGCUCAACUUCGAGCGUGCAUCCGAAACUGCCCGACUAGAGGUAGGUAGGGGAGAUCGGAAUUCCUGGUGUAGCGGUGAAAUGCGCAGAUAUCAGGAGGAACACCGGUGGCGAAGGCGGAUCUCUGGGCCUUACCUGACGCUCAGGUGCGAAAGCUAGGGGAGCGAACAGG
Molecule: ribosomal RNA, 253 nt
Filed under: uncultured bacterium
Lineage: Bacteria
Description: partial 16S ribosomal RNA
Rfam family: Bacterial small subunit ribosomal RNA
Source: RNAcentral